GGACCCUAUAUGUACUGUUGAUGAAGUUAGGUGCUGUUCUGAGCAUUAUUUGUGUCUAUAGAGUGGUGUUUUGGUUGAGGUUUGUUUAUGGUUCCUCAGACCACUGUGUAUUGCUAUUCUGCGGUCGUUAUUAUAGUUGGGAUAACGAGAGAAGCAAGCGGUCAGCAACAUUCAUCUAUCAAGGGGGUGUCUAACUCGAUGUUACGCUGUGUUUGACCCUAAAUGAAUUUUACGCCGGACUAUCCCUUUAAUAUUUUCUCAAAACUUUCACCAGAACCAGGCGUCCUUCAGUUUCAGAUUUUUUUAGGUCCGUUGUUGUUUUGUUUUUUAUGAUGAUUGCCUGUCAGGUAGGCGUCUGACAGUGUUUUGAAAGUUUUCGCAUUAAGCAUGGGUCGUUUGUUUUUCAUCAAAUCUGCAGUGAUCAAGUUUUUUAAGAUUUUGGAGUGAAGUCUUCAAUGUUUGAUGAAUUGCACACGAGUCUCUUUGUUUUGAUGUUUUUCGUGAUCUUUUUGUCUGUUUACCAGAUGACAAUUUUCAACAAUUUUCACAUGAAGCUCGGGCCGUCAAGUUUUGGAUUAUAUUCAGGUCAAACCGGCUGCAGUUACAUUUUUUGGAUGAGUUUUGUUCUUGAUUUGGGUGUUUUUUAGACUUUUGUAGGAAAGUUCUCUAAAAAUGAAAUACUGCCCCUGGUAAGUUUAAGAACUGUGCUCCAACUCUGACUUUACCUAGCUGUAAAUAUUGUUCACGGUGUUUGUGAAUACAUUUUUGUGAGCUGACCCUUUAAUCAUCCACUCACAGGACAUUAACAGAAAACUUCCAUCUGCAGUGUCCCCUUAGCCCUGCUGCCCCAAACACUGCUCACCUGGUUUAACUUUUGGUUUAUUCGUCCAGGUUUUUCGUUCUUUUUCAAAGAGUAAAACUUCUGUUAGAGUUCGUUUUAGAACAGCAGUUUGUUUGUUUGAGUGUGAUCUUUGGAAAUUUAAAGGCUUUUAUUGUGGUGGGACAGAUUUGAGGCCCUAAAUGAACAGCCUCCUCUUUGUGUAGGUCUAUUUUACUACCAGCAUGGACCAGAUUCACUGUACCAUAAGAGUUUUUAGUCUGAACUGAGAGUUGAACAACCAUAACGCUGAUUUUGCACGACUUCGCCACUUUUCAUACAAAUGCAAACGACACUGCAGCUUUUUUUUUCUUUUUGGAAAUAAUUCACAAACUCCAUUUAUUUACUUUAAUUUUCAUGGACCUACAUCAAAUUCAGUUAAGCAAUAGCUAGAGAUAUGAUUGGCUUUUGAGCAGAUGGCCAAUCAGAGCCCUGUUUGCCUCCGCUCACUUUAAGUAUAUUUGUAAAAGAAAAAAAAGUCUACUUGACCUUUAAAUUAAAAAAAACCCAUAGAUAUUAAAAGUGGGUACAAAUAUGCAAAAGAAAAAAAGUAUUUAAAGUGUGAAAAAGUUUUUCCCAUUUUUUCAGAUCUUUAUUUUCACAUUGGGCAAAAAAAAUCUGUUUUUCCCCAAUAUAGCUUUUAUUUUUUUCGCAUCGUAAUGCAUAAUUUAAAGGCAUGUUUUGCGAAUGAAGUAUUCACUUUUUUAAACUGACAACAACAUAGCUCUCUUUUUAAACCACAUAAACAUGAAUUCAAACCAACGGCUGCCUGCAAAAUAGAAACAAAUAAAAGACAUGCAUGCAUUAUAACAAAAUAUGUAGCGAUGUAUAUAUAGAGGUAGUUUAUGAGUAGAAAAGAGGCUAACUGUGCAGAAACAGCGGUAUGGUCCUUUAAGUUGAUGCCACUGGUGAAAUGAAGGUGGGCUGUGUUGUGUCUGGCCCACCUCUCGACGAUAACAAUAUGUGUAAAUUAUUUCAUGUCCAAGAGGUAAAAAUAUUUAUUUUAAAUUAUUUUAUUUAUACAGUUUAAAUGAUUUUUUCUUUCGUAUCUUUAGAGUUUUUAUUUAUUGAAUGUGUCUGUUUUAAAAGUGCAGCUGAAUAUUUCUCGUGACUUUUACUGCACAGACUGUUUUAUUGUGACGUCUUUCGCUCUCACUGUGAACAGAGCUCAGAGUGGCGCCAGCGUCCUCGAAGCUUCACAACAUCAAGACACACUGUGGACUGAUGUCAAAACUCUUGGUUGGGACUUGAACUGAGCCGUUUUGAGUUAGUUUUGACAUUUUUACCAAAUAAUCCAGAGCGCUGAGUCGUCAAACUCUUACGGUUUUCAGAAGCGAGUACGCUUGCAGUAAAGUUUGCUGUACUGAGGAUAUUUCUACUCCUUCUCUGCUCCAUAAUCUUAUUUCAGAGGGUGAACUUGAUAACUAGCUGUAGCAUGAACCUGACCAAACUUUUCUGUCAGAGGCUCUGGACUGUUUUGGUUCCAAACAGGGUUAAAGCGAAGUUUUUAAAAGUACUAAAGUCACAGAUUUGAGCCCCUCCGUUUAUCUGUUAAUCUGUUCAGUUUUGUCUGUUAACCUUUAAACUUGCAGUAAGAGCAGGGUUAAGAAUUGACACUUGAAUACUAAAAACACUUACAGCACAAUAACUUUAAUGGAUGACAAACAUUCCUCUGCAUGUCCUCGCUCCGGUGACUUUAACCCUGUCUUAUCCCACAGCUGUUCUUCCCUGUGACCGGAUAGAGCACCUCAAAAAUUAAUAAUAAAAAAAAAAAAAACAGGGAUUCAUUCAUAUUCACCUGAUACAAUGUAAAGUACAUUUUACUGUGUAUGUAAAUUAUUCUGAAUCGUUCAGAUGAGGACUUGUAGGACGUUUGAAGUGGGAAAGAUUAAGAGAUUACGACGAAGACAACGACAGUAGCAGCUCACGUUAAAGCUGCUAGCAUGUAAUCUACCUACGUUUGUUUUCCUAUGAAUGCAGUGACACUGAAACAAUCAAAGGUGAACUAUUUUGCAGAUGAUAUAGUGAUUUAUUUGAGGAUAUAAUAAGAACAACUGUUGUAUAAGCUAGCACUGAUUUGAAAACACUUUAAAACUUGUGAGUUAUACAAGACUUUUUUUGUUGAAUCUAAAAAAGGGAAGAACUCCAAAGAUUUCUGAACUAUGAGAUUUACAAGCGGGCAAACGAGCCGCCUGAUCUGGGUCACCCUGAAAGCUGCAGGUUCACAGCUGGUUUGUGGUAAAAUGUUUAUUUAUUAAAAGGUGAUUGUAAAGAGGCUCCAAAAAGAGUACGUUAGAGGUUUAUUUUCUUAUCUGAGGGGAAUCCCGGUGUCAAAGUCUUGUUUGAGUAUUUUCAUGAUUUGGUUCACAGUCUUGUUUUGAACUUGUUAAAAAUGGCAGUUUUCUUAGUUCAGGAUAUAAAGAUCUGCUUAGCUUAUUAUUGAAGUCAGGUGACGCAUAGCAAAGAAUGUGACACUUGUUCGCAUUUAUAAACCUUCAUGGAGACGAGUCAACCAGAAAUCCAUUCAUUCCCAUGUGCGUCCUUUUAUAUGUUGAGAAGAAGGUGUUGUUCAAAAUUCUGCUGUUUUUAUCCAUCCAUAAAGAAAUUCACUUCACUGCGCGGGACACUAGAGGUCUUGUUCCUGCAGACACUGAGCUCGUGUAGAUUGUCAUGUUUAAAGUCAUUGUCUGAGCUGCCAUUUUUCUCAGGUUGUAAAUAAGAUUGUGUUGUUAUUUUAUUUCUGUGCUACCAUGUUGCAUGUUGCAAAUUUUUUUUUUACUUUGUCAAAUGACCUCACAGCAAACAUGCACUUUUCCAGCAUGCACAGUGCACAGAGAUUGCUAGCACUUGUGGGGGCCUUAUGGGGGCCCAUCUGGUUAUUUUGCCCCCGGGGCCCCGCACCAGUUGAAUCCGGCCAUGGAGAAAAUCUGUGAAAACCAUUUUAUCCAGCAGGACCAUCCAGCUGAGGGAAAACCUGCGUAUUAAAUGCAAAUAUGAAGUGGACGUAGCCUUACCCUGGAAUUGAAGGAACUUAGACCUGCCUGCUGGUUCAUUUAGGUCUCAUGUAGCAAUUGGUCUUAUACUGGUUUCCAGUGAAGCCACUGGCUGGCUGUGGGACCACCAGUCUGAGUACUGGGGAAAUGUGAAAACAAAUGUUCUUCUUAUUCAUGAUGUAUUUAUUGUAAACAUUGUAUUUAUUAAUAUUGUUGUUGUUGUUGUUGUUUAUGUAUCAUUUUAUUGUAGGCGUGCACCUGAGGGUGUGGUUUGGUGAAAACGGGCUUCCAGCUGUGAGACGCAGCUUUUAUUGGGUUAAUUCACCCAGAAACACUGUGUUCAGUUCCCUGAUUGCUGUUCGUGUUAUAUUUUACUGUAAAUACUCUGUACAUGAAGAGAUAAAUCGCUGAGAGAGAUGUUGAAAUAGAUCUAUUUAUAAGGAAAGACAAAACAUUAUUCAAGUUCCUGCAACACUUUAAAUCAAGGAGCACAUUGACCAUCACCUACAGGCUGUAUACUGCGCAAACUGGCCCUUUAAUGGACAUUAUAAAGCACUAACUGAUGCCUUAGUCUACCUCUUUAUUACUGCUUACUCUCAAAGAAAUCUGUCGUCUAGGAAUUAUGACUUCAUUAUCAGAUUCCCAUCAUAGCCAUAAUUCCGCAUUUUGACCAUUGCUACCUUGUCUAUUACAGUCUGUAAUUGGCCGGUUGGAUACAGCAUGAUGUGCUUGGACCUAACUGCAUUAUCUACAUUUGUUUGACUGACUAUGAUAGGUUCGAUUUUGUGCAAUUUUAGUCAAUCUAACAUAUUUAAAUACACUCGAAAAGUCAGAUUAAUGCAAUAAAUAUAUAUUUUUAGCGUCAUGUAAACACACUGGCCAUUAACCAAACAGUUUCACAUGUUUCGCCUUGUAGCAUUUUUUCCGCUGCAGUGGUGUCGCCCCCUGUGGCCAUUAGAAAAACUGCAGGGGCUUCUGUUUUGGCUUCCCUUUUGGAGCCUAAGGGCUACAUGUAACUCCUUUCUUUUUGAAAUGAGAGUAGGAAUUUGUUGGAGAGUUACGGUCUUUAAUAUACUCGAUUUGGAAUCAAUGGACUCGGAAAACAACUGUUUAUAAAAAAAGUGGGCAUGGCCGAACUUUUGCAUUUCGCUGCACAUCCACAAAUACACAGUGGACUGCUUCAACAGGCCGCCAUGGUUGCAAGCAACUAAUUAUGUUGCCAACAAAAAGAGGGGUAGACCUUGCUUUGCCGUUUUCUACUCAGAUGGAGUCACCCCCUGCUGGUCGUAAGAAAAACUGCAGAUUUUCGCUACUUGUGCUUUUACUUUACUUUUAAAACCAAAGUCAUUCGCAGUAAUAAGGAGGAUAAUGAGGGAUAACUCUUGUUUGAUGGCCUCGUAGACCCAGAAUCUUGCAGAAUAAAGAAUAAAUGUAUUUUAUAAUGUUUUUGAAAGGCCAGUCUGCUACUAAUUAUUCAUGCUUGUAGAAAAUGGUGACUGUGUGCUCUUUAAUACUAGUGUUUGCAAAGUUUUUUUUUUUCCAUGUUUUGCUAGGAAGGCAUUAAAUAGCAAUAAACAUUGCACAGACUUGACCUCAAAUAAUAAUUUAUUAUCUUCUGUAGUGUUUUUGUAUUUUUUUUCUUUUGUCAUAAGAAGUGAUAACCAAAGCUUUAUUUCUCUUUCCCAUCAACUCCCCUUCCUGUCCGUCCUCUUUAUCUGAUCUCUUCCUACACUCCUUUCUAACUUCUCUCCCUUUUUCCUUAUUAAUUCUCUACCCCACUGAUAUCGCCACCCCUCCUCCUCCUUCUCCUCUGCUCCAAACAAGUUUUGAGAUUCCUGUAGCUCUGGCUGUUUAAGUCCUUUUUAUUGUUCAGACCUCUUCUACCAUGGGACCGGAGCAGGGGAGCUGGGCUUAUCAGCAACUCCCGCUGUGUUGUUUUUUUUAGCCGGCAGUGGUGUGAUGAUUAGACCUGAGAGAAGGUUAAAUAUUUUCUGCUGGCCAGUGACUUUCCACACAGUGUAUCAUUCACAUGUGGCUAGUUUUAGAUUUGGUACAUGUGCAGAAAAGAGGGUAAGGAUUCAGGUUUGUCCUGUCAUGUUUCUGCAUCUGAAAUUGCCCUUUUCAGAUGCAGUAAAUCAGGCGAUACCUCCAAAAAUUUUCAGAGUUGCAGUGCAGUGCAGAUUUCAGACAAUUCAAAGACCUUGAAAACAUAAAUAUUUAUAGGCAGGCAUUGCAGGAAUACUUCAAGUCCAGGAAGUUGUGUCUUGGGUUCUUAAACUCUUACACACUGAAAUAGUUAAUUCCUCUUUCCAUUCCCCAGAGUAAAUGUACAGAAGAUGAAAAAUGCCUGUUAUUUUUCUUUUAUUUCAAUAGCAGAUCAGAUAUGAGGGAGCACUUCCAAAAUGGGUUGUGUUACUUGAAGCAAUGUGUACAUACUGUUUUAUAACUACUGUAAGGCAUUUGAAGAAAUCCAAGAGGUUAAUAAAACCCGAGAUAUAUUUCUCUACAGAAAAUCAG
RNAcentral lists this long non-coding RNA (6387 nucleotides) under Xyrichtys novacula (pearly razorfish). The record is from RNAcentral. Lineage: Eukaryota; Metazoa; Chordata; Actinopteri; Labriformes; Labridae.